Molecule: ribosomal RNA, 276 nt
Filed under: uncultured prokaryote
Description: partial 16S ribosomal RNA
Rfam family: Bacterial small subunit ribosomal RNA
Source: RNAcentral
UACGUAGGGGGCUAGCGUUAUCCGGAAUUACUGGGCGUAAAGGGUGCGUAGGUGGUUUCUUAAGUCAGAGGUGAAAGGCUACGGCUCAACCGUAGUAAGCCUUUGAAACUGGGAAACUUGAGUGCAGGAGAGGAGAGUGGAAUUCCUAGUGUAGCGGUGAAAUGCGUAGAUAUUAGGAGGAACACCAGUUGCGAAGGCGGCUCUCUGGACUGUAACUGACGCUGAUGCACGAAAGCGUGGGGAGCAAACAGGAUUAGAUACCCUGGUAGUCCCUGA